AAAAUUCAAAAAAUGUAAUGAUACUUAUGAUGAUACUUACAGCCAUUCCGCGAGCGCCAGCAGGUCCGGCAGGUCCUGCAGGUCCUUGAGCACCCUAAAGACAGAAAUAACAGGGUCCGACAGGUCCAGGGGAACCAGGGGGACCAGGAGCUCCAGGGGCGCCAGCAGGUCCAGUGUUACCUCGCUCUCCCUACAGGAGGACAUGAGGCGAUGAGUCAGGGCUCUCCAGCAGGUCCACUAAGUCCAGGGGGUCCCACAGGUCCAGGAGGUCCACGGUCACCAGCAGAACCAGAAGCUCCCUGUUUACCAGAUGAAAGCACUUACAGAAGGUCCAGGGAGACCAGGGAAACCUCUCUCUCCACGCUGACCAGGCAAACCAACAAUACCACGAGAUCCAGCCAGACCCUGAGGACCUGAAGGCCCAUCAGCACCCUACAGAGCUCUCCCUUCUCUCCCUGUGCGCCAGGAGGUCCACGAAGCCCAGCGUCUCCCUGUCUUCCGGGGGGGCCGGCAUCACCACGAGCACCUUUAGGUCCGUCUUUGCCAGCAGAACCAGCAGGGCCAGCAGGGCCAGGGUUACCCUGUGAUGGGACGAGGAGGAAUUUCAGUGGGAGGUCCAGCAAAUCCAGCAGGCCCAGGAGGUCCGCCCUCACCACGGUCACCCUGCAGGAGGACAGAAGAGACUGUUGGUCAUGGCGAGCGUAGGGUGUUCCAGGAAGUCCACGAGGUCCCUGCAGACCCUGAGCUCCAGCACCACCUCUCUCACCAGGGAAACCACGCUCACCCUGUUAGGAGGCAAGAAGACACUGAAUCAACUCAGGCUGGUGUAUCUGAUAUUUCAUGAGAAAAUAAACUGACCUGGAAGCCAGAGGGUCCAGGCUGUCCUUGCUCUCCUCUCUCUCCAGCAGGUCCCUAUGAUGAACCCAAACACAGGGAAUCCCAUCACUCCUGGCUGUCCGCGGGCUCCCUGAGGACCAGGUGGACCGGGGCGACCAUCUUCACCAGGGGCACCCUGUCAAAGGCACAAGAGGGUCCAACUUUGCCUUGAGGACCAGCGUCUCCAGGACGACCAGUGAGACCCUGAAACAGACACACAUGCUCAUCAGCAUCAGUCAAGAAGUGGGAUGAAUCUCAACAAAAUGAAAUAACAUCUGCCACAU
This is a long non-coding RNA of Epinephelus fuscoguttatus (brown-marbled grouper), 1160 nucleotides long. RefSeq lists it as uncharacterized. The transcript has 10 exons. NCBI's taxonomy places the organism in Eukaryota, Metazoa, Chordata, Actinopteri, Perciformes, Serranidae. The record is from RefSeq and is a predicted model, not a curated record.